UUUUUUAAAGUUUUAUUGAAGUAUAGUGGUUUUACAAUGCUAUGAUAAUUUCUGCUAUACAAUGAAGUGAUUCAGUUAUGCACAUAUAUACGUCUAUUCUCUUUCAGAUUCUUCUUUUUUUUUUUUGUCUUUUUGCUAUUUCUUUGGGCUGCUCCCGCGGCAUAUGGAGGUUCCCAGGCUAGGGGUCGAAUCGGAGCUGUAGCCACAGGCCUACGCCAGAGCCACAAGGGACCGAACCUGCAACCUCAUGGUUCCUAGUCGGGUUCGUUAACCACUGCGCCACAAUGGGAACUCCCUCUUUCAGAUUCUUUUCCCAUAUAGAUAAUCACAGAAUAUUGGGUAGAGUUCCCGGUGCAGCAGGUCCUCAUUGGCCAAUGAUUCCAUAUACCUCAGUGUACAUAUGACAGUCCCAAAUGCUCAGUCCAUCCCUCCUCCUACCUGUCCCUGUAACCAUAAUUUUUCAAGCUCUGUGAAUCCUCUUUGCACUGCAAACAAGUCCAUUUGUAUCUUUUUUUAGAUUCAUGUAAAUGACAUAUAAGUUUCAUCACAUGAUUCACAUGUAAGUGGCGCCAUUUGAUGUCUUUCGCUGUCUGACCAACUUCACCUUGUAUGAUAAUCUCCAGGUCCAUACCUGUUGCUGCAAUUGCCAUUACCUCAUUUGUUUUUAAUGGCUGUGUAAGAAGGAAAUAAAUAUUUCUGAGCGAUAGUCUACCACAUAAGAAGAGGGGUCAGAGGAAAAAGAAAUUAAGGGAGCCCACAUCUAACUUCUUUCCUGGGCUGUGCAUUCUUACUUUUCUUUUACUCUUGGAUUUUCUUUUAUUUUUUAUUUUUUACUUUAAUGAUUUUUAUUUUUUGUCCAUUAUAAUUGGUUUACAGUGUUCUGUCAAUUUUCUACUAUACAGCAACGUGACCCAGUCACACAUACAUAUAGACAUUCUUUUUUCUCAUAUUGUCAUGCUCCAUCACAAGUGACCAGAUAUAGUUCCUGGUGCUACACAGCAGGAUCUCUUAUCCAUUCCGAAGGCAAUAGUUUGCAUCUAUUAACCCCAAAUUCUCAGUCUAUCCCACUCCCUCCCCCUCCCCCUUGGCAACCGCAAAACUUCUCCAAGUCCAUGAUUUUCUUUUCUGUGGAAAGGUUCAUUUGUGCCGUAUAUUAGAUUCCAGAUAUAAGUGAUAUCAUAAUGGUUUUUGUCUUUCUCUUUCUAACUUACUUACCUAGUAUGAGAGUCUCUAAUUCCAUCCAUGUUGCUGCAAAUGGCAUUAUUUUGUUCUUUCUUAUGGCUGAGUAGUAUUCCAUAGUGUACAUAUAUUACAUCUUCUGUAUAUUCAUUGCAGCGCUAUUCACAAUAGCCAAGACAUGGAAACAACCUAAAUGUCCAUCGACAGAUGAAUGGAUUACUUUUGGAUUCUCUAAGCCUUAGCAAGAGUGCUGUUGAUUUGGGUGGGGUCACUAGUGUGAGCGGAUUAGACAGAACUGGCUACAAGGCAUUGUUAUUUCCUAUUCAGAAGGAUCCACAUAGGGACUGCAGACAAUUAUGAGGAAACCCACCUGACAGGAGGCACUCACUUUGAACCCCAGCCUUUUCAUGCCAGCAUCAUGGGUGUAAUUUGAGAGGCCUUAUAAUUUCUGACUAUGGUGUCACUCUUCAUGUAGCUGAAACAUUGAGAGAGAAGGGAUCUGGAGAAAUGUGAAGAAUCGGUGGCAUUUGAAUGGUUGUCUCUACUCUUUUAUCGCUUGCAUUCACUAUUUUGUGUCUUAAGUUUAUUAAUCAGCCUGAGAUGAGGAGAUAAAAACACAUUGAUAAAAUUACAGGGAGCCAGCCAGUAAUUAUCAUCAAAGAGUACAACUGAAAACACAUUUAAAUAUUUAUCUUCGAGAAUUGCGGUGUGUGAGUUUCUGGCACUUGCGGUGAGCCACGGUUUGGGAGACAGUGACCUCUCGUUUCUGGUCCUUUUGAUGACUGUCAGAGCCGGCAAGUUUUCUGCCUGGAAUCCAUCUUCCCUGGCAGUGCCAGGCACAUGGCAAUGACUCGAUGCGUUUUCAUGGAGUGAAUAAACUGUAAAAUUGGAACAGAACAGUCCCUGGAAAUAUGAAAGAUAUGAAUGAAAUGACAUUUAAGAGAAUCUGGAGUCUUAGAGGUAAAAAAUCCUGGAUUCUCCCUGCUUUGAAUGGAAUGUAAAUUCAAGACUAUUUGAUUUUGUACAAUGUCAGGAUUCUAAAUAUCCCCAGAUUACACAAAUAAGCUUUUCUCCCCCCGCACCGCCACCCAGUGACCUCAGGUACAGAAUUUUGUGGCUCUUCCAAAUAGAGCAUGUUCUGUGCAGAAAGGGUUUUGUUCUUAGCAUCAUAUGUUUUUUAUUGACUGCUUGGGCAAUGCAGAUCUGAUUCCUAUGUUAAGAGAGUGCCAAUAACUUAAUUACAUUUAUCACCCAGGAUUCUUUCUCUGUUCAUAGCAACUGAAUAUUUGGGGUUUUUGUGUGUUACAUGUGUAUUUCCCUCAUUGCAGUGAAUAUGGUUUUUAUAUUUAUAUGAAACUGCUAAUGUGUUGCUCGCUAGAUCGUGAGCAAUGGGUUUCUGACAGCUCUGUUCAUUAGUCAGUGUGGGGGAAAAAAAAUAAAAGAAAACACACUGAUAUAGAAACAGAGUGUGAGCCAGCAAUUACCAUCAGAGAGCACAAUUGAAGCCACAUUUUAUUUAAAUAUUUAUCUUGUGAAUUGAUUCAUGCAAAACAAGAAGCGCUUUUUGUGUUGUUUUUUUUUAAAUUUAUGAAUGACUUUGCCACUGAAAAUUGAAGAACAAGAUCAGUAUUGGAGUUGAGUUUGAUGCAGUCCACAGCUUAGAGUACGCAGAGUUAACGCCAAAUUAUUCAUUGUGAUGUAUCGUUAAGAUUGCUAUGUGUGAAUGUGUAGUAAGAUGGUAACACCAUGCAGCUGUUCGUUUUGGAAUCCCAACUUUGCAUAGAAGAAGAAGGGGAAAAGCUGAUAGAUAACUUUGAGUGCCAAUAAUAAUAGCAAAUGUUUAGAGAUGCUAACUAACCUUGUUGUAUUUUGUGUAUUAACCCUGCAAGGUGGGUACUAUUAUUCCUUCCACUUGACGGGUGAGGAACUGGAACACAGAUGAAAGGACUUAGCCACUAGGAAGAGUGUGGGACAGGACUUUGGAGGGUCCACCAGGAAGACCCAACUCCUUGCCAGUCCCACUUCCUGCUGGGCACCUCCUGUUGGAGAUUGGCCACUACAUCUCACAUGUCAGUGAGGAUGAAUCAGAUCCUGUGUCUUUGUAUGUCUUCCAGGGGUGGUACUUCCAGGAAUCUUCAGACUAGCUGGCAUCCAUUUCAUUAGCCAAAGGGGGAAGAUUAGGCCAGGAAAACACUGAUAAUGGGGUGACCCACCACCUGUUCUUUUUCUUCCCCAAACAGGAUUGUUAGACAUUUUGCCCCCUGACCUCCUCUCUCUGCUGCCCCACCCAACAAACAGACAGAAUUUCAGCUCACCUCUGUUUGACAGCCAGGUGGUGGACCAGAGUUCAUUUGUGAAUUGCAUUAUAGAGGAGUUUGCAUUAUCCUAGAUAUUUGCAGAAUUAUACUUUAUAUUUUUUAAAAAAGGAUACUCUAUCAUUGGACCUUGAGGUUAUUUACGAUUUGCCAACAUUAUCAACACUGCAAACAUUUCUGAAUGGAUGGCUUUGCCUGCUUAUCUUACUAUUCUUUUAGGACACAUCCCUGGGUGGGUACUGCUGGGUGAAGGCUCUUUGUACACAUUGUUUGCCCUCUCAAAAGUUUGAACCUGUUUGAAUUGCAGCGAGCAGGGAGGGUGAGUGCCACUUUGUUGUUGUUCCAUGUAAUGCGAUGACAGAGCAGAAAAGGCAGGUCAUGGAAUGCAUGAAUUCAGGAAUAAUAAACUUAGGUAAGUGCAUUGUUCUGACCUUGGGUGUUAAUGGCAGCAGCUAAUUUGGUGAAACAGAGGACUUUGGGAAGAAAUGGUAUCGGUAAUUAUAUGUAGAGAGAAAUGCUGUGGAGCAAUAGAUAAAAAAAAUCUCCAUGCACAAUUUUGUGUGAGCACUUGGGACCAGUGGAGGAAACCUGAAGCAAAAUCUUACAAAGAAAUAAGGGCUUGUGGAAGGGACUAUGAUAAGGGAACACUAACUGUUAAUAUUUUAUAGGUGAUAGAAGAUAUAGGAAAAAGAACAAAAAGAUAUAAGCAUGUUGUAAAUAAACCAAGUUAUAAAUUAAGAGAAGGAAAGGAAACAUCCACCUUACUAUCACAUAUAUUGGAAAGAGAUUUACGGGCUGGCUGAGUUUAACCACUUUUUCUAUUUCAAAAACUCCUGCCUGGGGGUUCCCACUGUGGCUCAGCGGGUAACAAACCCGACUAGUAUCCAUGAGGACUCAGGUUUGAUCCCUGGCCUCACUCAGUGUGUUAAGGAUCCAGCGUUGCUGUGAGCUAUGGUGUAGGUCGCAGACACGGUCCACAUCCCAUGUUGCUGUGGGUGUGGUAUAGGUGGUAGCUGUAGUUCUGAUUUGACCCCUAGCCUGGGAACUUCCAUAUGCUGCAAGUGCAGCCCUAAACAAACAAACAAACAAAAGAAGUCCUACAUGAAAACAAGAUGGAUGUAUAAAGCCAGAAUACAAUUGAUUUAUAAUGCUCUUAUAGCAACAAAAAUGUUCACAUUCUUAUGGCUUCUGAGCUCUGUAUUAUCUCCCUAUAGACAGAACUUUGUGGGAAUCCAUAUUAGACUUAGAAAGUUAUUCCAUCACAUAUGGUCAUGGGCAGGAAAAUCAGUCCUGUGACCUUAGAGGAUAGUGUGUUCAUUGAGACUAUCUCAGAGACAAGUGAUUAGAAAUAAAACUU
Molecule: long non-coding RNA, 4851 nt
Filed under: Sus scrofa (pig)
Lineage: Eukaryota; Metazoa; Chordata; Mammalia; Artiodactyla; Suidae
Description: lncRNA (ENSSSCG00005018577.1)
Source: RNAcentral